RNAcentral lists this ribosomal RNA (261 nucleotides) under uncultured bacterium. Its description in RNAcentral is "partial 16S ribosomal RNA". It matches the Rfam family "Bacterial small subunit ribosomal RNA", at positions 524 to 776 of the family's 1533-position model. The record is from RNAcentral.
UACAGAGGGUGCAAGCGUUGUUCGAAUUAUUGGGCGUAAAGGGCGCGUAGGCGGCGUUGUUCAAGUCAGGCGUGAAAGCCCCGGGCUCAACCGUGGGAACCGCGCUUGAGACUGGCAUGCUCGAGUUCGGGGAGAGGAUGGUGGAAUUCCCAGUGUAGAGGUAGAAAUUCGUAGAUAGUUGGGAAGAACACCGGAUGGCGAAGGCAGCCAUCUGGACCGACACUGACGCUGAGGCGCGAAAAGCGUGGGGGAGCAAACAGG